Molecule: long non-coding RNA, 1134 nt
Organism: Scylla paramamosain (green mud crab)
Lineage: Eukaryota; Metazoa; Arthropoda; Malacostraca; Decapoda; Portunidae
Exons: 2
Source: RefSeq, a predicted model, not a curated record
UUUAAUACACAAGGAUGACACAAGAGACAUUCAACUACAUUCUCAAGAAAGUUGAACAUCGUCUUGUGAAGACAUGGUGUAAUUGGCAUGAGCAACCCAUUCAACCUGAAGAAAGACUUGUCAUUACUAUCAGGUAUCUUGCCACAGGAUCGUCGUUCCAUUCCCUUACAUUUUCGUUUAGGGUCGGAGUGACAACGGUGGGAAAGAUUGUUUUAGAGACUGUUAUCGCACUGUGGGAAGAACUACAUGAGGAACACAUGCCAGUACCAACAAAGGAGUCCUUCAAAAUGAUCGCUGAAGAUUUCUACAGCAUCUGGAAUUUCCCUAACUGUUUAGGCUCAAUUGAUGGAAAACAUAUCCGUGUUCAGUGUCCCCAAAAUUCAGGAUAAAUGUACUUUAACUACAAAAAGUUUUUUUCCAUUGUCCUUCAAGCUGUUGCAGAUGCACACUACAAGUUCAUUGCUGUUGAUGUAGGAGGCUUUGGAAAGCAAAGUGAUGGUGGUACGCUCCAAGCCUCUGAUCUGUACAGUGUCUUGACAAAGGGAAAACUAGAAAUUCCUGAACCUUCUUACGUACCAAAUACAAAUGUCAAAGCUCCGUAUGUGUUUGUGGGGGAUGAAGCCUAUCCACUUUUACCUUUCCUACUAAAACCGUAUGGUGGACGUAAUUUGACUAUUGAAGAUACCACCUUCAACCAACGUUUAUCCAGGUGUAGGAAGACUGUUGAGUGUGCUUUUGGCAUGUUAUACAGCAAAUGGCGUUUACUGUCAAAGUGUGUAGAAACCAAAGUUGAUUUGAUUGACAACAUUGUAAAAUGUAUUUGUUCUGCAUAACACAAUCAUAGAUAAAAAAGGGCGUUGAACAUCAUCUAACUGAGACUGCUGUCUCAACUCUUCAGCAAAAUGAUCAUAUGUAUUGUCGGGGAAGACCGUCAAACGAAGCUGUGAAUGUUAGGGAAAUCUUUAAAUCUUUCUUAUUGAAGUAUCCUUUAGUAUACAAGGACCAAACAAAGCAGUAAACCAUGUUUAAGAUAACAGAGUUUCACUAGCUGUGUUUUUGCUACUUAACUAAUCUUAUAACUCCUGUACUGUCCAUAGUAAAAAAAUAAAGAUAAAAUGGUUCAUAAGUUUUAAA